CCCUGGGUGGUGCAGUGGUUAACACGCUAGGCUGCUAACCAAAAGGCUAGAGGUUUGAGUCCACCCAGGGG
This 71-nucleotide transfer RNA is filed under the name Loxodonta africana (African savanna elephant). It matches the Rfam family "tRNA". From Rfam's summary of the family: Transfer RNA (tRNA) molecules are approximately 80 nucleotides in length. Lineage: Eukaryota; Metazoa; Chordata; Mammalia; Proboscidea; Elephantidae. The record is from Rfam by way of RNAcentral.